UCCAGCUUCAUCAUUAGUACAUUAUUUAAGCUUGCCAUAGAAAAUAGUUAUCAAGCCAGCCCAAUUGUGAAAAUAUGCAGUUUUUGAUUUACAGCUUUUUUGUACUAUUCUUCCUUUCAAAAUAUCUAUGCUUUGUUGACGCCAUGGCUAUCCCUGGUGGUGAAGAAGAGUGGGGAUAUCCAAUUCUGGGAUGGCCUCAUUGGGUCGGGUACACUUCUUACAUGAAUGAUCCUGUUCAUUUUUAUGACUAUGGUCACAAGUAAAUUUUUUCCUGAUGUUGGAAAAUUCAGUUUGGUAACAUGAUAGUAAAUCAGAAAGUGGAAAAUCAAAACACAGAGAGUGUGACUUGAAGCCCGUUUUAAAAACUUUGUUGUUAAACUAUUGCAAAUAAAAAUAAUUU
Molecule: long non-coding RNA, 400 nt
Organism: Argiope bruennichi
Lineage: Eukaryota; Metazoa; Arthropoda; Arachnida; Araneae; Araneidae
Exons: 3
Source: RefSeq, a predicted model, not a curated record